AAGGGCUGUACGCGGCUCUGUCCUCGGGCGAGUUGGCGGAGGCUGGAGUAUUUAUCACCCUUGUCGUUUGCGCACUUGUUGUUUCCUAGGCGGGCUCGCCCGCCACCAGGACCACAUUAUAACCCUUUUUUAUGCAGUUGCAAUCAGCGUCAGUACAACCAAUGUAAAUCAUUUACAACUUUCAACAACGGAUCUCUUGGUUCUGGCAUCGAUGAAGAACGCAGCGAAAUGCGAUACGUAGUGUGAAUUGCAGAAUUCAGUGAAUCAUCGAAUCUUUGAACGCACAUUGCGCCCUUUGGUACUCCAAAGGGCAUGCCUGUUCGAGCGUCAUUUGUACCCUCAAGCUUUGCUUGGUGUUGGGCGUUUUGUCUUUGGUUGUCCAAAGACUCGCCUUAAAACGAUUGGCAGCCGGCCUACUGGUUUCGCAGCGCAGCACAUUUUUGCGCUUGCAAUCAGCAAAAGAGGACGGCACUCCAUCAAGACACCUUCUCACGUUUGACCUCGGAUCAGGUAGGGAUACCCGCUGAACUU
RNAcentral lists this ribosomal RNA (531 nucleotides) under Curvularia ovariicola. RNAcentral describes it as "eukaryotic LSU rRNA". The stretch from base 177 to 330 matches the Rfam family "5.8S ribosomal RNA". The record is from RNAcentral. Lineage: Eukaryota; Fungi; Ascomycota; Dothideomycetes; Pleosporales; Pleosporaceae.